CUUUUUCUCUUCUCCAUUCCUCCGCCAUCGUGCGCGCUAUUCUUGAUUCGGCUUCUCGCCAUGUCUUCUCACAAGACUUUCCGAAUCAAGCGAUUCCUGGCCAAGAAACAAAAGCAAAAUCGCCCUAUUCCUCAGUGGAUCCGGAUGAAAACUGGCAACAAAAUCAGGUACAACUCUAAGAGAAGACACUGGAGGAGAACGAAGCUGGGUCUGUAAGGAUUCACACAAUGGCAAGACUGAGGAUUUAUACUGAAUUGUCAUCAAUCAGUCCUACCAGAUGGAUUUCAACAUUUAAACCUGGAGACUUUUCGUGUCUUGAAUUAGGAUGUUUGUCCAGUAAUAAAAUAUAGAACCUUUC
RNAcentral lists this long non-coding RNA (358 nucleotides) under Mus musculus (house mouse). Its description in RNAcentral is "long non-coding RNA chr15:102634978-102635336". Lineage: Eukaryota; Metazoa; Chordata; Mammalia; Rodentia; Muridae. The record is from RNAcentral.